This 31991-nucleotide long non-coding RNA is filed under the name Phaseolus vulgaris (common bean). RNAcentral describes it as "long non-coding RNA (PVUL_LNC001867)". Lineage: Eukaryota; Viridiplantae; Streptophyta; Magnoliopsida; Fabales; Fabaceae. The record is from RNAcentral.
CUUGAAUGCUUAAAGAAGAUGGAUUUCCAGAUACUGUUGCCCUAUAUGUGGAUCUAGCUGAUCCAACAUUAGUAACAGUUCUACCAAAAGUGACAUUGUUUUUCUUUGAGAGAGCGGUUGAUAGAGCAAAAGAUGGGAGGUUAAGGUUGAAAACAGAUCCUCUAUUUGCUGAUGUACAAGUGUUGUUAUCUCCUGUAAUUGUUUGCAGCGUUGAUGUAUUAUAACCUUGUCCACACAAAAAAUUAACAUAAUCAUUCGGACCAGCAUCAUAAACUAGUCCAGGAUUUACUGCCUUCAAAGGAUUAAUUUGCCCCGCACCGUAAGCAAAUUCAGCAUCCGGAUUAAGUGCAGGAUUCAGAGGGGUAGCUGUAAAUGAUAAACCAACAAAUUUGGUCGUAAAAAUAUAUAUACUUGGCCAUUAAGAUAUACCAUAAAAUAAUUGAACUUAAUCUAGUUUUUCCCAACACAAAUGUACAUUAGGGUGGUAAUGCAUAAGGUUUUAGGUUAUCAUAUUUAAGGAAAUGAGUUACUCAUGAUCUCACAACAAAAAUAAAAGUUCUAUAUCUAUAUACGUGUAAAUGAAAUCAUAUGUGUGUAUUCAAAUUAAAAACCCAAACAAUAACCCAGGUGAGGAAAGAAAAGAAAGAAUUAGUUUUUUAAAUUAACCAUGAUGGGUUCUUGAAUUGAGAGAUAAGAAAAGGGCAUAAAAUGAGUUUAGCAUGCUUGGAUUGGAAUGAGACUAUUACCAGUUGUCAUUAAUGCGGAUUUAAGUACAGCAGGAGACCAGCUGGGAUGAAAAGAUUUGACGUAAACAGUUGUUGCAGUAACAUGAGGGCAUGCCAUUGAAGUUCCAGAUAAUAUAUUGAAAUACGAAACUCUACUAUCUCCAUUAACUCUAGAAAUAGGAGAAAGUGUAGACCAUGCAGCCAGAAUGUCAACUCCUGGAGCUGCUAUGUCAGGCUGUACCAUCAAGAGAUAACUUAUAUAUAAGCAAAUGAGCUUGAAUUGGUUGGAUUGAUUGUAUAUUGUACCAUGAAGUUUACCUUAAGAAUGUUUGGAGUGAUCGUAUUUGGACCUCUUGAUGAGAAAGGAGCAAUGUAAGGGGCUGCUGAGUCUAUUCCUUCGUAACUCUUGGAUAUGAUAGCUGUUGGAUUACUACAGAUCGAUGACAUGACAUAUAAAUCAUUUUAUUCAAGACUAAUUGAGCAAAAUUUUAUAGCACUUAUGUAUGAUAUUUAUGUGUUGAUGAAAAGUUUGUACCUUGUUGACUUUAAAUAAUUAUAUACGGAUUGCCCAUCACUUGAGCUAAUGUGAACUUCUGGCAAUGCAAAUACACCUGCAACAACUAAAGGCAAUGUACUGCGGAAUAUGACACCAGCAGCUCCAGAAGCAAAUCCCACACGUACAGAAGAAGCAUAGCCAUCACACAAAACAAUUUUCCCUCUCACCAAAGCUCCAUUCAAGGAAUUGUUAGUGCACAACCUAAGCAAUGCUAAGGUUAGUAUGGAGUUUUGAAUUGUAAUAGAAAGAUUAGAAACAAAUUACCAAAUAAUAUGUCUAAAUUGCUAAUUUCUUUAAUUAUUUAUAAAAUUCAAUUAUUUAAUCACCAAAGCUCCAUUUAAAAAACUAUCAAUGCACGUACUAAAGCAAUGCUAAUGUUAGAAUGGAGUUUUGAAUUGUAAUAGAAAGAUUAGAAACAAAUUACCAAAUAAUAAGGCUAAAUUACUUUGCUAAUUCCUUUAAUUAUUUAUAAAAUUUAAUUUCCUUCUCAAUAUAUUACAAAAAAAAUAAUUAAAUAAAAAUUAAUUUUAAAAAUAAAAUUAAUUAAUCAUUAUAUUAACUAAAUUAAAUAUUAUUUUAAAAUUUAAAAAAAAAUUAAUAUAUAAAAUAAUUUUUAUUAUUUAUAAAUAAUUUUUAAAUUGAUAUCUACUUAACUAUCAACUAAUUAGAUUCUAAUAUAGUAAUAAUAUAUCAGAAGAAUUAGUAAAGGUUUAUAAUUUUAUUAUAUUUAAAAAUCAAACUUGAAUUUUUUAAAAUACAAUUUAUUAUAGUGACCUUUUUCUAUAAUUUUUAAUUUAUAUAUAUAUUUUAAAUAAAUUAUAAUAUUAUUAUAGUGAUAAAUGUUUAAAAAAUCUACACUAUUUUGUAAAAUUAAAUUUUUAACCAUUAAUUCAAUAUUGCUUCUUUAACUGCGUCAACUUCAUUAGAUGGAAAAGAAACAUUGGAAUUUAUAGAAAAAUAAUGUUGGUACCGUGAUGUGGAACUAUUAAAUCCAGGAGCUGGUACAUCUCCAUCAUAAAUUAUAGGGUAACCAUUCUGUGGUGGACUAAAUGUGUUCCCUGAAAUUCCCUGGAUAUGUUGAGAGAAAUCUUUUGUUACUUUUUUAAUAUUUUAAAAAAUAAGUAAAAGAAUUUAAAGGGAUAAUUACCCGGAUGAUCUGGCCAUUGCCCAGUUUGAGAUCAGUUAAAAACUUUCUGUCUAUAGUGGUGGCAGCCACAGAAAUGUACCAGGGUGCAACAUCCGCCAUUGUGGAAGGAUUUGGACCCGAAUUGCCUGCAGAUUUAGAAGUUAAUAUGCCCCUCCUCAUUGCAUGGAAAGCUCCUAUUGCAUGUACAUCUUCAAAAUAGUUCAAGUGUUUGACGGUUGAUCCCACUGAAACAGAAAGAAUAUCAACACCAUCCGAGAUGGCUGCAUCAUAUGCUGCAAGAAUGUCAACACUUUGACAACCCCCUGUCCAACAAACUUUAUACACAGCAAUGCGUGCUGAUGGAACUCCUCCUCUUGCUGUUCCUAAGCCAAGCCCAAACAGAUUUGCAUUGGGAACAAGGUUUCCAGCAGCAAUGGAUGCACAGUGAGAUCCGUGACCAUUGUUAUCAGUUGGAGAUAUGAUGUCCCCUGGGAGGAACCCACCUCCAAUGCGAAAAUGUUUUGCUCCAAUUACUUUGCUACAAACAAAUCAUGAAGCAAGCAUUCAGAGAUAAGUAAUUUAAUGGUUACUUUUACCUUUUAAUAAUUAUUACUUUGAAAAUUUUAUUACUUAAGUUUAGGUGUAUAUGUUUGGAUCCAAGUUGAUUUACUACUGAGGUGGAUGUUGUUGACAUUUGACAUGAAAAAAUUUUAAAUGUGAGUUUAAAAAUUGAAACCAGACAUGUUGUUUAUGUAUAUAAGAAACAUUACUUAUUGCAAGUGAAGUUAUAGCAUGUUCCCUUCCAUUUCUGUGGUGGUGGACCAAAGCCUCCACCAGUAAAGCUAUUGGCAUUAGAAAUCCAAAUUCCACUAUCGAUUACUCCAACAAUUGUGUUACUUUCUUCAUUUGUUCUUGGGACAUUUUCAGGGAAGUUAAGGAAGUUCCAGGACCUUGAUGUUUCCACAUUGUGGACUCUAUCUGGAAUAACAGAUACCACACCAUCCAUUCCUGUCAAAAUAUUCCAAAUUUUCACAAAUCAUAAUCAAUCAUAUUAAUGUAGGAAUAUGACAGGAAUCAAAACCAAAAAUAUAUUUAUGAAUAAAGCAAAAAGCUGAUGAAAAUGUGGUCUGAGCUAAUAGACACAUAUGUAUAAUUGGAAUUUUUCAAGUGCUCUUUUUAUUAAUAUAUUUUAGUUCUUUUUUUUGGAAAAAAAAAUUACCUUUCAUUCUUUCUGAUUCUUCUUUGGUUAGUCUCGCCACAAAUCCAUUGAAACUCUUGUAGCGGUGCAACAAAGUAUCUGAUGCAAAUUUGCUGGAUGGAUGUACAUUUCAUAUGGAAUUUUAAUAGUUAGUUAAAAAAUUCCAUAUUCUUGAUUGAUAAUAGGUUUAAAAUAAAAGAAUUGUUCUCUUUUUAGAGCAAUUUAUUUCAUUGUUUUUCUUUUCACUCCUCCAAAAUAGCAUUUAAGUCAAACACGAUUCUUUGUAUUUGAAAAUGUUAGACAUACAAUGUUAAGUGAGUUGAGUAGAAACAAUUAAGGCUUAUAUAUGAACCUGCCGAGGACACUUUGAACCAUCCUGGUGUGAAAUGAUUCUGUUAUUUCCAUGCCCUUUGGAUAUUCUCCCAUGUAGACUAUGUAAGUCUGUAGUAUGAACAAGAUAAAUUAAAAAGAAAUUUAAACUAAGUGAAUUUCACAUUGAUGCUUAAACAUUGAAAAUAUUAUAUUCAACCUUGGGGUUAAUUUGUUCAUUUUGAAUAUAAUCCAAAUUCUUAUUAACUUAAAUGUAAUCCAAUAUUUUCCUUAAAAAAAUAUGCAUUAUUAGAUUUAUUUAAAAACAUCAUAAAAGGAUAAAAACCUAAGAGUAAUUUAUGAAAAGAUAUAACCUCUCACAGAUAGAAGGAAUGUGAAAAUUAGUUGAGGAAAAAAAUAAAUUACAAAGUGAAAUAUUAUACAAAAGAGAUACCUCAAGUAUACGUUUGCAAAAAGUAUAUUUUUGUAAUACAAACAAUUUCAAUUGCUACGUCAAACAAUAUUGAAUAUAUAUUAUUUACCUUUCGAUCAUCUUUAGAAAAUGAGGAAGUCAACAGCAGGAUGCAUGUAAGGAUUUGAAGAAGAUGCGACAAACCUAAAGACUUCAUCUUUCGGAACAGUAAUCUUGAUGAAUGUGUUUUAAAGCUCUUUCAACCUGUAAGUAAAUUUAAUUUAUUAUGUUAAGUAUAUAUUUAAAACUUAUUAUGUUAAAUAUAUAUUUGAAACUCACAACACAACACUAAAAUUUGAUAUUGGAAAUGGUAAAUAGAAGUAUAUAUACAUAAUAAAUUGAGAAUGAAAACAGUAACAAAGUAGAUUAGCAAUAAGAACAUCAUUUUAAUCUGCACAACAAAGUGGAUUGGGUAGCUUUACAAUGUACUUAAAAGGUUGGUUUUGUGUUUUAUUUAUUUAUUUGCAGAUUACUGUUAUUUUAUCAAUUCUGGUGGUUGAAGUUGAAUUGGAUAGAUUAAUGAAUGUGUGCAAUCUAUUAUUUUCUUUGAAAAAUUGUUCUUUAAAGAAUUUUAGUUAUCAAAUUUUAAACUAUUGUAAAUUUUGUCUGUCCAUAAUUUCAUGUAUGUUAAAUUUCAAAUGACAUUACCAUUUCACAAUGGUUUUAAAUUAUUACUAAAUGAGGUCUUCAAUGCACCGUGUAUGCUGGUCACAUAGGCAUACAGUCAACUAUGCCAUCAAAUUUACUUCCUAGUAUAUAUUGUGUGUUGUUUAAUUCUGUUCAAUUUUGUUAAUCACAUGCAGACAAAUAAACAUUAAUAGUGUCAACUAAUAAUAAUGAUGUAGUUGAUUGAGAAAUAUGAUAUUAGUAGUCUUUGUAAAAUGGUUGAAAUAUUUAAUACUAUAAAUUUAUUCGAUUUGUUUAUUAUCGAUAAAAAAUAUAUUAUUAAAUGUAUAUGUUUAAAAUUAAAUUUAAUACAUUGACAAUUUUUAACGGAAAGAUAUUAAGUUUUAUUUUUUUCUUGCUUUUGUAAUUAUCUUCAACUUACUCCCCAACACCAAAGUGACAACCAUUUACCUUUUGAAAUUCAUCUAUUUCCAAAUCAUUGCAUUGUGAAAGUUAUAUAGUGAAAGUUAUAGGAUGAAUUCAAGUUAAUUAUUAUUUUCAAAGAAAAGUGUGCAUUGGCAAUGUUAAGGUGAUAACUAUACAAAAGAGUCCUUUGUUGUUUUUAUGUGACUGAGAGAAGAAGUUGUGUAGGAAGCCAAAAUAAGAGAGUUCCUCAUUGCUUCAUUUUCUGUAUAAGAUUAAUGUUUUAUAAAAAAAAAAAUCAAUAAAUGAAUAGGAAUACACAAAUAAUGGAGUAUCAGUUUAUAUUAAGAGGGAACCACUCGCAAUAAAGUAAUAAAAUAAUUAAAAAUAAACCAAUAAAAGUAAUUAGGGAUGAUAUUGAUGCUUAAUAUUUACUCAAAUUAAGAGAAAGUUAUUAUAUAUAAUUACAAAUUUAUAACAAGAUAAUUAUGCCGAAAAGUUAAAUAACUUUGUAUUAAUUAAUUUAAAUACUGAAUAAAUAAUAAAUAUAUUCUACUGUUUUAGGUCACUUUUUCAAGUCAAAACACUGACUGAACCUAAUUGCAUGGUCUGAAAAAAAAAAAUACAAUUUGAUAAAGUUUGGUUGACUGGUUUAUAAUUCAGUGGGUUUUAAAUUUUGAAAUUGAGGUAUAAAUGAAACAAUAGAAAUAGAGCAUUGUUAUAUAUAUAAGCAGAGAACAGAAGCAGUAGAAAAAUAUUAGGAGAAAGAGUUAUAAAUGAAUAAUGGAAACAGGAAGAGAUGAGAGACAUACUCAACUUAGUAGAACAUAUCUUGAGUAAAGGAUGUCAAUACACACACUCUAUCUUACCUUUAUAGCCACUUGAUUGGACGGUUUCAUGUUCCACGUUUUGCACAUUUAAUUUUCAAGGACAAAAAUUAAUUUGAUUGAAUUUUUAAAAGAAAAACUAUACACUCCAAUAGAAAUUGGAGUUUCAUAAUAUAACUAUACUUCUUUAUAUUAAGGAUUUUUUUUUUUAAAUAUUCAUUUAGAAGAUAAUAUUUUUAACUGUGUAAUGUAUUGAAUAUUUUUUUCUAAAAUAUGUUUAAAAAAAAUAAAGAAAUACUGGAUCUGGAAUUAUACUUUCUAUUGAAGUUGGAAUAAUUUAUGUCAACAUUUGAUGUAAUGUUUUUAACACAUGAAACAAGAAUUACUAUGUACAACUCAAUUCUUAAUCUGAAAUAGCACUUAAUUAAAACAUUGAGAACCCAAUUUAAGGUUUUUUAAGAAUUUACUUAUGAAAUAUUUUAGUAAUAAAAUUUGGUUGAAUAUUUUAAUAUUUUAAAUACCUCCUUUAAUAUUUGCAAUACAUGAAAGGUAAUUUUGUUUUUUUAUAAAGAUUGACUAUCGAACUCCCUUUUAUUUAUAUUUUUUUAUUAUUAAUAAAAAAAAUAUAAAAGUAGUUUUCACACACUUGUAAGAGGACAUUAGGGAUAAGUGUUUGAAGUCCGCAAAGUAUUGGUUGAGAAGAAAUUAAAUAAAGAUAAAUAAUUUAAAUUAAUUUCUAUAGUUAGAAAAGAUAAAAGUGAAAAUAAUUUUUAAAUUUUUUGAAAUGAUGUACAGUUCUUUCUUAUUUUUAAUUUUCUUCUUUAGCAAAGAAGUAUAAAAAAAUUAUGUUAUUCUCGUCAUUAUAAAAACAACAUCAAAUUAACUUAUGAAUAAACAUCAAAUUUAAUUAAUCAAAUUUGUUUAUAAAUAUUAGUUGAAUUACUAUUAAAUUCUAAUGUGAUACAAAAGAUUAAUUUUUUUAAAAAAAAACUUUAAAAUAACAAUAUUGAAUAAAUAUUUACAUCAGUGUAAGAUCAGCAUCCGUUUAACAAUCCCACAUCAUGGAGUCAUAAGCCUUCUCAUAAUUUACCUUAAAAAAGACACAAUUUUUCUUCUUCUUUUUCAUCUCAUCUAGAACUUCGUUGGACACAAGAAUGCUAUCCAUUAGCACCCUUCCUUCAAGGAAAGUAGGUUGGCUAAAAUCGAUGACUUUACUAAUCACUUUUUUCAGUCUCAGAGACAAAAUCUUUGAUACAAUUUUGUUCACACACCCUACCAAUGAAAUGAGUUUGAAAUCACUAAGUUGUUGCGAAUUAUCUGACUUAAUAAUCAAACAUAUAAAUGAAGUGUUUUACCCCUUAGGCCAUUUACAUCUGACUGCAAAAUCAUUCAUAGCCGAUAGAAUAUCCUCCUUUAGACAGUCGCAACAAAAGUUAAUGAAACUGAAGUUAAAAGCAUCUGAACCAAGGCUCUUCAAACUAUCACAAUCCAAACUGUAGUCUUAACUUCCUCUUUAGAGAAAGCUCUUACCAACAACGCAUUGUCAUCACUAGAGAUAGAAUUAAAACAGGCAUUGUCCAACCUAACCUGAGGCCUAGAAACCCCAUAGAACUUGGCUUUGAAAAAAUCUCUGACCUUUGCCUUAACCACCUCUUUAUCUUCGCACCACUGAUUGUUCUCAAGAAUGUCAUUGAUCCCGUUCCUCGCUCUCCUCCACUUCACGAUCGAAUGAAAGAAUUUUGUGUUUAAAUCGCCUUGUUUCAGCCAUUUAAGACAACCUCUUUAUUGCAAAACAACUUCUUGUUUGAAAAAUUUUCCACUUUGUUUUGCUAACAAGAGUCUCCUUACCUCCCUCCCAGGCUCAUCUAGAUCACUUUCAUAAUCUCUUGCAUUCAGCUCUUGAAUUUUCUUUUGCAGAUCUUUCCCUACUUGGUUAACAUUCUCGAAAAUAUCUCUAUUCCAGAUUUUCAAAUCUGAUUUCAAAUUUUUCAACUUUUCUUUUAAAACGAACAACCCUUCACCUUGCACCUCACAGCUAUGUCAUUUGAAAAUAAUUUCUUCUCCACAUCGUAAUAAUCCCUCCUAUAUUAGUAACAACACCAUUUUUAAUAAAAGUUAAUAGUUACAUUACAUCUAUAAUCUAGUAUCGAGUUUACAUUAAACAUAUAAGAAUCUAUCCAUACAUUAAAAAAGUCUAUUAAAAUAAUAUAAAUAACUUAAUUUUUCUUAGAUAAAUAUUAUCCUUUUAUUAUACAUUUAUUCAUUUAACUUUUAAGUAUGAAAGUGUCUUAUGUACUACACGCUUGGAAAUAAAUUUUGAAUGAAUAAAGAAUAUAAAAAUUUGCAGAUAAAUUGCAAACCAAUAUUCUUUAUUUCAUUAUAAAUUAUAUCGUUUUAAACUUUAUCCUUUUAAAAUAUUAUUUUUUAAUAAAAAAUACAAUCAAAAUUUAUUAAAAGUCCUUAAAAUCUUUAGAUUAAACUUAGUUAUUUAUAAAUUAUUUUUAAUAAAAAUUCAAAGGUAAAAAUCUCACAAUAACAUUUAUAAACAUUUUUAAAUUUUUAGGUCAAUUCAUACACAAUAAUUUAUAAGUAAUAUGUAUGUAAUUACCUACGAAUCUCGUCUAUAUGUAAUUACAUGUGAAUUAUAUGUAAUUACAUGUGAAUGUGGUUGAUAGUUUAUUAUGUAUGGAUGAAAUUUAUAGAUAAAUUAUGUACAAAUGAGAUUUAUAUAUAAAUAUGUGGAUGAGAUUUGUAGGUAAUUAUUGACCUGACUUCUUACCUUCUAACCUCAUCCAUCUAAAUAAACAAAAACUCUCGUCUUCACACCAAAUCUAAUAUUCCAACUUAUAAGGAAGAACUAAGUGAUAGAACUUUAUAGAACUAAGUGGUAGAACUUUUGCUUCAAAUAUAUCCCCAACAUACUAUUGCACUCUAUCAUACCACAUUAUUUGGAUAAAUGUAUUAUAGAAAAACCUUCUUACAUAUUGGAAAUCCCACAUCGACUAGAGAUAAGGACAUUUCAUAAUAUAUAAAUGGGUGCAAACCUCACCCCUAUGAGCCGGUUUUAUGGGGUUGAGUUAGGCUUAAAGUCCAAUUCUUAACAUGGUAUCAGAGCCAUUUCGAGCCUAUCCUAGCGAGUAUUUGUUGGGUUUAUCAGUCGACCCGCUAUCGGGCCGUUACUGGACCACCCAUAACAUAUAUCUCCACGCAUGAGUUGGUAGCCUCGACGUGAGGGGGUAUGAGCCGGUUUUAUGGGGUUGAGUUAGGCUUAAAGUCCAAUUCUUAACAUUACAUACUCUAAUUCAUUACAUUUAAGAUACCUAUUAACCAUGCUAGUCCUACAUAACACAUUCUUAUUUUCUAUUAUAUAAAAAAAAAACCUCCCUAAUAACUUCAAAUAUGAUUUCCAAUAAUGUACCUUUAUACAAACAAUUUAUAUAGAUCACCACAUUCAAGAAAAGAAAAUAAAAAUAAAUAAAGAAAAAGAGAAAACACAGGGAAACCUCUAAAAAGAUACCAUAUCAACCAAGUAUAACUCAUUAAAUAGAAACCAAUUUUAAUGAUAAAAAUUAUUAAUUUUUAUAUUGACUAAAUUAUAUACUAUUUUUAAAAAUAAAAAAUAUGUUGGAUUGUUGGAUUUAUGAAAUAAUGUAGGGUAUGAAAAAUAUAAAAUUAAUGUGUAUAAUGGUUGGAAAAUAUAAAAGAUGUGAUAUUCAAAAUUGGUAGUUGAGGUGAUUUUAAAUAUAACAUGUGUUAAAUUCGAUAAAGCUGGAUACUCCAUCGUUUAUGAAGAAGGCCAGAGUAUAGGACACACCACUCAUGUUGAAACCGACGUAUACAUGCAUAAUGUUUAUGAAAAAAACAAAUCCAUCUUUUACAGAAUACAGCAUGAAUUUCUAUAAAAUGAAUUGAUGUAAAUAUUAAAAAUAGAUUUUACACAAUAUAUCUAAAUAAAAUUUUGUUUUGAUAAUAAUAAAUUAUAGCAAUGAUCAAUUAUGUAAUUAAUUAAGAUAAUUUUCAAAAUUCUUUGUAAGAAAAAAGACAGUAAAAUAAAUUACUAAAUAAAAACAAAUUUUAUAUACCAAACUAAUUAAUUACUAUUUAAUUAAAUUAAAGAUUAUUUUAUAAAUUAAGAAAAUUAUUAAUAUUUAAAAUAAUUUCUAUUAUUAAUAAAAAAUUAUGAAAUAAUUUUUAAAUUAAUAUUUAAUGAUUAACUACCAAAAUUUUAACUACUUACUAUUUUAUAUUCUAAAUUAAUCUCUAUUAAUCUUUUAGACACUAAUUUAAAAUUAGUAGUUAAGAUCUAAAUAUCUAAUUUAGAUAUUAAUUUAUAAAUUAUUUUCAAAUUUUUAUUAAUAAUAGAAAUUAUUUUAGAUAUCAAUAAUUUUUUUAAUAUCUAAAUUAGUAUAUAUUUUAACCAAUAUAGUUAAUAUAAUGAUUAAUUAUUUUUUAUCUCUAAAUUUAAUUAUGAUUUAAUAAUUUUUUUUCACGAAAUUCAGGAAAAGCAAGUGAAACUCUGUUUUAUAAUAUAUAAUAUACCCAUUUUGAAAAUAAAGAAAAAGUAAAAGCACGUUGUCAUAAAUUAAAAAUACAAUACAUUUCUAAUUUUUUGUUGGCAUAUUUUUAUGGUGAUAAAUACAAUUUUCUUUUACACGAUCAAAUUUUUUUUUUGUUUCAAUCUCCACCCCAUCUGUUCCUUCUGAUAAGAGGAUAAGAUACUUGGAUUGUGAUAUCAUAUUUAAGCACCAGCAUCACAUGUUUUUUUGUCUUCCCCGCCCCCACUGUUUUGUGUGGUUUGAUUUGUCAGUGCUUCACAUGUUUGUUGUUCUGUUAUUCACAUAUUUUAACUUUUACUUCAUCUCUUUAAUUUAUCUUUGGACUGGAAGAAGUAUUUAAGAGAAUAGAUACAUGAAGAACAAUGUAGAAAAACAAAUAAGGAUAAAAAAUAUUUAUUCAAGCGAUUAAAUGGUUUCUUUAAUUUUUCUUUACCAAUAAGAAGAUUGGUAAACAGUAUAACCCCACGUAUAUACUCGCUUGUGUCUAUGAGCAAACCAGUGAAUCUAAAUCGAGAAUAUUUAUGUGUUUUCAUCUUUGUAAAUAGUAAAUAGUUUGAACCAAACUUAACAUUAGUUAAAAGGGUUUUUUUAUGCUUUAAAAUUUCUGGUUUAUUAUUAUUUUUUAAACUUAAACCAUGGUUCAUACUUGUGAGGAUUGAAGGAAGAGAUAUAGUGGAAGAUAUGAUUAAGAAUGGAGGAAGUGGAAUAGAUGAUAAAUGUUGGCAAUGGUGAGUGUCUGAAGAGGAAGUUGGUGAGACCUGUUGGAAAAAACGGGUAAUUUUCCCACUAAAACAGAACUCUAAUAGAGCUACCCGAUAAAUAAUAUUGAAUAAAUAAAGCGGAAUAAUAAAAUAGAUAAAGAGGAAAAACACACUAGAAAAUUGUUAACGGAGUUCGGCCAAUUUAGCCUAAUCUCCGAGCACAGCUUAAACAACCCACUUUUAUUAUUAUGGGAGAAGAUAUUACAAAUUGGUAUAUCUAACAGUGAAGGAGAAGAGUUUAAUUUAUAACCCUCAAACCUCCUUCCCAAACAAUGAACCCACCGAUGUGGGACUUGGGAUUAAGCCAAAAUCAACAAAUCUCCACCUUGGCUUAAUUUCAAGUCCCACCUAAAACAAAUCUUCUCAAAACAUAACAAAAACAAAGCUUCAAAUUUGCGCCUCCGGGCGCCAACUUCAAAUGUGCAAGAUAUUAACCAAGUCUAAACAGUAUUCAAACUUGGUCCUUGUAACCACCUUGGUGAGCAUAUAUGCAGGAUUCUCCGAGUGUGAAUCUUCUGGAAAACAAUCUCCUCUUCUUCGAAAAUCUCACGCACAAAGUGAUAACGAACAUCAAUGUGCUUCGUCCGUGCAUGAAAGAUUUGAUUCUUUGCUAAAUGAAUAGCACUCUGACGGUUAGAAUAUAACUCAAGUUGUUUCUGACCAACUCCCAAGUCUUUAAGCAACCCAUGAAGCCAAAUUGCUUCCUUCACAGCCUCUGUAAUCGCCAUAUACUCUACCUCUGUCGUAGACAAAGCCACCGUAGACUGCAAGGUAGACUUCCAACUAAUUGGCGCUUUUGCUAAAGUGAACAAAUAGCCAGUUGUAGACCGUCGCUUAUCCAAAUCACCUGCAUAAUCAGAAUCACAAUAUCCAACUAUGCAUUGACCAAGUGAUUCAUCUUGCUCAAAUGUCAAUCCAACAUCUAAGGUAUUUUGGAGGUACCGUAGNNNNNNNNNNNNNNNNNNNNNNNNNNNNNNNNNNNNNNNNNNNNNNNNNNNNNNNNNNNNNNNNNNNNNNNNNNNNNNNNNNNNNNNNNNNNNNNNNNNNNNNNNNNNNNNNNNNCCAACUGCAUUUGCAUAUGGGACUUUCGCCAUGUAUUCUCGUUCUUCAUCAGUCGUCAGAGAUAAACGGCUACUCAAUUUCAAAUGAGGAGUAAGUGGGGUACUUACAGGUUUUGUAUCUUCGUGUAUACCAAAACGUUGUAGUACCUUCUGCAAAUACUACUUUUGUGACAGCCAAAGUUUUCCCCUCUCCCUUAUCUCCAUGCCGAGAAUCUUUUUGGCUUCCCCCAAAUCCUUCAUCUCGAACUCUUUACUCAACUGAGCCUUUAACUUCUCAAUCUCAACUUGGCUCUUUGUUGCAAUCAACAUAUCAUUAACAUAUAAGAGUAAGUAAAUGUAGGAACCAUCUUCAAGUCUGCGCAAAUACACACAGUGAUCAUAUUUGCUUCUCUUGUACUUCUGAUCCUUCAUGAACUUAUCAAAUCGUUUGUACCACUGUCUUGGAGAUUGUUUCAGUCCGUACAACGAUUUGCUAAGUUUACAAACCCAAUCUUCUUUACCAUCAACCUUGUAUCCUUCUGGUUGAGUCAUAUAGAUUUCCUCCUUCAAAUCACCGUGUAGGAACGCGGUCUUUACAUCAAGUUGACCAAGCUCCAAAUUCAACUGUGUUACCAAGGCCAACAAAAUUCGAAUGGAUGAAUGUUUAACAACUGGAGAAAAUACCUCAUUAUAAUCAAUUCCCUCCCUCUAAGCAAAGCCUUUAGCAACCAACCUUGCCUUGUAGCGAACAUCUUCUUUAUUAGGAAAUCCUUCUUUCUUUGCAAAUACCCAUUUGCACCCAAUUGCCUUCUUACCUUUUGGUAAUUGUGCCAACUUCCACGUCUUGUUCUUCUUCAAAGACUGCAUCUCCUCUCCCAUCGCACCUGCCCAAUUACCACUCUCUGAACUCAGAAUNNNNNNNNNNNNNNNNNNNNNNNNNNNNNNNNNNNNNNNNNNNNNNNNNNNNNNNNNNNNNNNNNNNNNNNNNNNNNNNNNNNNNNNNNNNNNNNNNNNNNNNNNNNNNNNNNNNNNNNNNNNNNNNNNNNNNNNNNNNNNNNNNNNNNNNNNNNNNNNNNNNNNNNNNNNNNNNNNNNNNNAGUCACUUGUGGUAUUUCGUGUUGGGAUCACCACUGUCGGCUCAAACUCCACCUGCUUCUGGGCACACUCCACCUGUUGUGGAGUACUAUCAGCUCCUUCUGGAUUUACCUUCUUUAACAUGGCAGAUUCAUCAAAGGUAACAUCCCUGCUGAUAAUCGUCUUCUUUGCCUCUAGACACCAUAAACGGUAUCCUUUCACUCCAGGACUAAAGCCCAUGAAAAGAGCCUUCUUUGCCCGUGGAUCCAACUUUGAUUCAAUCACAUGAUAAUAUGCAAUAGAACCAAAAACAUGCAAAGAAUCAUAAUCAGUUGCAGGUUUUCCAGACCAUACCUCUAACGGGGUUUUGCCAUCUAUAGCAGAUGAUGGCAAACGAUUGACGAGAUGUUAAGCGUAUGUCACAGCCUCAGCCCAAAACUCUCUGCCUAACUCAGCAUUAGACAACAUACAACAAACUUUCUCCACAAGUGUCUUGUUCAUACGCUCCAAAACCCCAUUCUGCUGUGGUGUUUUUCUAACAGUGAAGUGCCGAACUAUGCCACAAUCUUGGCAUACCUUCAGGAACAGAUCACUCUUGUAUUCUCCUUCAUUGUCUGUUCGGAGAACCUUAAUCUUCCUUCCUGUCUGGUUUUCAACUUGAGCUUUCCACUUAAGGAAAAUUUCAAGCACAUCAUUUUUGUUCUUCAUAGUAAACACCCAAACUCUCCUGGAAAAAUCAUCAACAAAAGUGACAAAAUAAUGCCUACCUCCAAUUGACGGAGUCUUGGCAGGUCCCCACACAUCUGAAUGCACAUAAUCCAAAAUACCCUUGGUAUUGNNNNNNNNNNNNNNNNNNNNNNNNNNNNNNNNNNNNNNNNNNNNNNNNNNNNNNNNNNNNNNNNNNNNNNNNNNNNNNNNNNNNNNNNNNNNNNNNNNNNGAACACAAUGCUCACAAAAUUCAAGUUUGCAAGCCUUCGUACCUUUCAACAGUCCUUGCUUGGUAAGAAUUUGCAAGGAUUUCUCUCCAGCAUGUCCCAACCUCAUAUGCCACAACUUUGUUGCCUCGACAUCCUUCUUAGUGCUAGAAGUUGCUGUCGCUACUGUCCACAUCACUUUUGCAUUCUGCAACAUUUGCAUCUUGCGGAGCCUUCCCUUUCUUCUGCAGUUUUGGACAGUCUUUCUUCCAGUGUCCUUUCUCAUGACAGAAAACACACUCAUCUUUGGCAACGGCUCGACCUUUAGACUUAGACCAGACCUCCCUCUUCUCCCCUUUGUUUGGCUUUGUUGACGACCUCUUGCCACCAAUGCUUCUUCUUCUUGAUUUUCCAUUACAAACUCAAAAUAUAAUAUUCAAUAUUACAAAUAAUUUCAAACAACCCAAGGGCGAACCUUCGGCUCUUGAUACCACUGUUGGGAAAUACGGGUAAUUUCCCCACUAAAACAGAACCCUAACAGAGCUACCCGACAAAUAAUAUUGAAUAAAUAAAGCGGAAUAAUAAAAGAGAUAAAGAGGAAAAACACACCAGAAAAUUGUUAACGAAGUUCGGCCAAUUUAGCCUAAUCUCCGAGUACAGCUCAAACAACCCACUUUUAUUAUUAUGGGAGAAGAUAUUACAAAUUGAGAUAUCUAACAGUGAAGGAGGAGAGUUUAAUUUAUAACCCUCAAACCUCCUCCCAAACAAUGAACCCACCGAUGUGGGACUUGGGAUUAAGCCAAAAUCAACAAGACCAACCUUUCAAGUGUCUACUAGCCUUCUAGGCUUGUAAACAAGAAGAGACUUGAGAGAGAAUGAAUUUUGUGUUCAGAAUUUUCAUUCACAAUUAUAUCAAAUAUGAUUACACAAUGUAUUUAUAAUCAAACAAGAUAGCUUGUGUCGCAAGCUACAUACAACUACACAUACAUCUACAAAUACUUGUUCUAUUACAAAUGUCUUCUACUUUAUUUAUUGUAUAUGGUGGCUUCCCCCCUCCUUAAAAAGGAUUUGUCCUCAGAUCCUACUGAGCAAGGUCACCAGAACGGAAACAACUUGUGCUAUAGUCCUCCAUGCUCAUGAAUCCUCCUGAAAAGAAAACCACAAAGAAUAAGACUACAACACCAAAAAAAUAAAAUGUACAUAUAAAAGAUACAAAUGGGAAAACGAAGAAAGGAAAAAUAUCAACAAAAGAUAAGAAGAAAAAAAAGUACCUGAAGAGGUAGAUGAACGAAGUACACAUAAAGGUUUACAUGGUAAAGAAGAAGCAGAAGACGGAGAUGUUACCUGCUGAGACAUAUAUUCUUGUUGAAUUUUCUCUUUAAGGGUACUGGCAUUUGCACGUAUCUCAGAAGGAGAAAGAGGAAACAAUAUAUAUUUGUGAUUUGGGAAAAAGUGAUCUUAUUUGAAAAUCCAUCAUGAAGAGUAUUGUUAUCAAAUUGCCAAGGUCGGCCAAAAAUAAUGUGACCAAUGUCCAUAGGAAUAACAUCACAUAAAAUUUGAUCGAUAUAGUUACCAAUUUGAAUAGGAACCAACACCCUAGUGUUGACAAUGAUUCCAUUAUGAGGAUUAAUCCAAUCCAGACGGUAUGGAAAAGGAUGAGGUUGAGUAGAUAAAGAUAGCGUAUGAACUAACCGUGUACUAAAACAAUUACAACAAGAACCACUGCUAACAAUUACAGUAAAAACAUUUCCAAGAACUAAGCAACGCAUAUGAAACAAAUUCUCACGUUGAUAAUUACUAAGAUCAACAGGGUGAGUAUGAAGAAGACGUUGUAUAAUGCAAAUCUGGAAUCAUAAGAAUAAGGUUGUUUUUUAGAACAAGCGGGUAGAUGUAGUGGAGGUUUUCACUGUGGUACAAAGAAAGACUUGGUCUUGGAUCACGGUAAAAGAAAAGUUGGCUACUUUCUCUUACUCAGAUUGGUGCUUGGAACCCCAUUGUUGUAUGAGGUAUUUGAAAGAUUGAUUUGCUGCUCCUAUCUAAUGUUUAUACCCAGGUUUGGAAGUUGUGGUAUGUUUUGUGCAGGUUUCCUUGGCAUGGAUGGAUUGAUGUGAGUGCCUUAGGUUGCGAUUGGAAGUUGCUUGUGUUUUGUGCAGGAUUUUCUGGUUAUGCUCUCUUUUGCAGGUUCGAUUGUUGUAUUUGGCAUUGAGUUUGAUGUAGGUCAGAAUGCUAGUAAAGAUCUUCUUUAGCUGUUGGAUUUUGUGCCUGUUUUGAGGGCGUGUUUCAAUAUAGGGUUGAGGGUUGGGGGAUCUCUGUAUCUGGUAUUUUAUACGUGUUUUUGGGUAUUGUCAUGUAAGGUCUGGUGGAUACUUGCUGGUGCAAGGAAACUUGUUUUUGGUUUUUUUAUAAGGGUUGGGGUACCCUUGAAGUACCUCAUUUUAUUUUAUUUAUUCUUUGCUGAUAAAAAAAACAAUGCAAAGCUCACCCGUAUAAGGAUGAAAUUGUUCAUCUGAAGUGGGAUUAUCCUCAGAAUCAGAAGAAAUUGGAGAAUGUGUCUGUGGUUUAUUAUCUAGUUGAUGAACAAGCAGAGUUCUUUUUUGUGGGCAGUCAGAAGAAUAAUGUCCCUUCUCAAGACAAGUAAAACACUGAAUAUUUUUAGACUUACCAUAUGAUAAGUGUCUAAUUUCAGUAAUAUUUCAUAUUAAAAUAUAGGCACUUAUGAGGAUUUAUUGCUAAUUUACAUAUAAAAUAAUCUAUAAUUUAUGAAUUUAUACUUUUUUACAUUUUGUAUGAUCUUUAUUUGAAUAAGAGCAUUUUAUUCUCAAAUUUGGUGUUAAUUGCAAAUUUCUAGGGAGGAUUGAAGAUUUGGAGUAAAGGAGAAUAAUUUGAGCUAAAAAGAGAAAGCUAGAAGGUCCCAGAAUGGAAAAAUAUGCAUAGAAAGAUUGGGCAUUUUUUAUGUUUUAUCACUUAGCCCAUUAGCGCGACACAUGAAGCAACCUAACCCUAGAAAAUUAGGAUAAAUAGGGGGCUAGAGGUUCAACCGACCCUAGUGUGCCAGAUUGUGAGGAAAACACCAUAGAGUGAAUUGUAACCCAACUGGGAGAAUGGAAGCUGCUAGAAGUAUGCGUGACUAAUUCUACCCUUUGGGAUCGAGAGUAAUAUGCUCAAACUCUUAUGUAUUGAGGUGAUAUCUUAUAUAUUAAUAUUCAGUUAUUAAUUGAUUAUUGGUAUUGUUGUUUUACUUUUAAUUUUCCGUGACAAAUUGAGAAUGUUAAAUCUAAUCGGGAAGUAUUUUUAAGGUUCAGACCUAAAUAAACUUAACAUAUUUGAGUGCUAGGAAUAGACUUAAAAUGUUAAUUGCUAUUAAACGUCUAAACUUUUCUUAUAAUUAUGCGAGGGAUCGAUACUUAGGGGACAUUCUUAAGGAUUUUAUAUGCGAGGAAUCGAUAUAAAUGAUUUUUAUACGGGCAUCAAUUUUAAUCAAAGAACUUAAUAUUGACAUGCUAAUCAUCAAAAUACACGAAAGUGAGAUAGAUGAAACCUAAUCCCUAUUUUUCCAACUUGAAACAACCAAUUCUAUGUCUGUUUUCUUAUUGAUCAUAGCCAACACAACCACUUUCAACACAAUUUUAAUUGUUUUGUUCUAUAUUUAGUGAUUAUUGUACUUGAUAAUUCACUCUUACUUGUGGGAUCGAUAUCCGUCCUUAAGGACAAUUAUUACUUCUUACAAACGCGAUACACUUACCGUAUAGAGUCAUCACCAUCCUUAGAAGGGAUCGAUAUCCGUCCUUAAGAACAAUUAUUACUUCUUACAAACGCGAUGUACUUAUCGUAUAGAGUCAUCACCAUCCUUAGAAGAAGACAGUAAAACAGAUUUAUCAAGAUGCUUAAGGACAUCACCUUCUUUUGAAAAACGCCUAGAUGAACCAACAACAUCUUUAGACAAAGAUUUAGAAAGCGAAGAGGAAUUCUUUUGGAAAGAACUUUUGCACUGAAGUUGAUCUUCCUCCCGAAUGCAAAUUUGCACAAGAUCAUUAAGAUCAUGAUAUGUUAGUAGUUCAACACGACCUCUGAUAGCAAAACUUAAACCAUUCAGAAAACGAGCAAUUGUUAAACGUGGUUCUUCCCGAAUACCUGCACGUAAGAGAAGCAAUUCCAUCUUCUGGCGAUACUGAUCAACAGAUAACUCCUUCUGAUUCAACCUAUGUAACUGAUUAAUAAUUUCACGGUCAUAGAAAUAAGGAAGAUACCGUUUUCUCAAAGCAGAACGAAGUUCAUUCCAAAAAUUGAUGGGAGGAUAACGAUGAAUAAGAAGAUCACGUGAAUAAGCUGUCCACCAAUGCAUAACACCAUCGUGAAAGCUAAAAGUAGCUGAUACUACUCGACGUUCAUGAUCCACAUGGUGGCAGUAAAAAAUUUGUUCAAUUUUCAUCUCCCAAUUGAGGUAAUCAUAUGUGCUGGUCAUGCCAUAAAAAGAAGGCAGAGAAAUUUUAGGCUCCUGAACUGUAGAAUGGUGAUGAGCAGUCAGUUUAGGAGGUGGUUAGUAAAAAUCUUGAUUGUGAUGAUUUUUGUAUGCAUCAGUUUAGGGUUAUGUUGAUGAACACUAGCCUUAUGAAGAGAGGAACCCCUGUGGUGGCUGUGAGAUCGAUGUGAUUUCUGAUCUCGUGCAAGAACAAGUUGAUGAAGCAGAGUUUUAAUUUCUUGGAGUUGCAAAUCAUGAUUCUGAAGAGUUGCUGUGAUGUCAAUAGGAGAAGAUGAUUUUCCAUGGCCAUGCACACUAGAAGGAUGAGAUGGAUCACUCAUGAUGAAACAGAAAACAAACAAAACUGAAAAGAAACGUUAGAUGAACAGAAAAAGAAAAUGGAGAAGCAAUCAACUAAAGAAAAUUUACCAAAUGAGGGCACAAGAAUAAAAAAAGUAACCUUAGAAUUAAAACCAGCGUAAGUAAAAUAGACCGCUUGAUGAAGAGACAAUAGUUAUUAAGAGACCAAACUAUAAAUCAAAAAGGAAGGAACAAAAAUCAUGUAUGCAAAUGGUCCUAACACCCAAAGAAAGGGUGAAGCUAAAUGCACAAGUACCACACCUACUGUACCACAGAGACCUACCAAUAUAAGAAAAUAAAAUAAGAAUGAAAGAAGGCAAAGAACCAAAAAUGCUUGAGUAUGUUGCCUAACAUUGAACAAGAGAAUUGUCAAGAAUGCAGACAAGAAUUGUAUCUGAUGUAUAAAAGACAAUUAAACCAGGUACAAACGCAAACUAAACAAAAUUGCUUAAGACAGCAAAGAAAACAUCAACUACUCAAAGUUCUGUGAUACAGAAAUGGACAAAAUGAGAAACAACAAAUAAGGUAUAUAUGAUUUGAAACUUGCGAAAUGAAAUAAAUUGAAUUAUCUUGUUACCUCGUUAUCUCCGCUUGAGAACAAGUCGAAAGAGCCCUGUAAAACCACUGGAGAAUGGCAGCACUUCACUUCUUAUGGAACCCUUCAAACACCACAAAAAACAAACACGAGAAAGGAAACCAAGAAAUAAAGUAAGAAAAGCUUAAAGGCAACAAAAUAGCUAAACCAAAGGGAAUCACAGAGGCAAAACAGAAAAGAGUCCAACAAAGACAAUCAACAAAUUAAAACACUCAAGAAAAAGAAGCACAAGCAGAAAGGAACCUAAGAAGAGGUCUAUAACAGAUUUCAAAAACCAAAAUCUAGAUGAACAAACAAUGUUUGGUCCAGAAUUUAUACCAAAUGAUUUGCAACACAGUUAAUUCUGAAAUUUGGAUGAGAAAAACUACACUCAAAGAUGAAAAAAUUGGAACAAAUUUGAUGCCAAAAGACACAUUAAGCACAGAGAAAUAAAAUAUACAAAAUACGCACAACGUCAACAACAAUGAGUGAAAACGGAAAACUAUGUGGAACAGUGAUCACCAAACAUGUAAGAAUUAUGGUAAUGUUGAAACAACAAAUUUUAAGCUGAAAAUUUUAUUGUCUAUGAUGAACUCAAUGUACAAUAUGCCACAAAUUUGAAGGCAAACGGAGUGGCACUCACUGAGAAAUAAAUCAACUAAGCACAACCAGUGUGGAACACAAUAUAAACUUGAUUUAGAACAGGCAAGUAGAUUUGUACUAUUUAUGGUAAUUUUUUUUAUAACGAACUUCAAGUUGGAAAUUUAGCCAGUUCAAGAAAACAAAUCAAACCACAUAUGAGAAUAUUUUAAAGUCAAAACACUAAGGGAGUUCGGUGCAACAAAUUCAACAUCGAGAGUAAAACUAGUAACUAAACAAAUUGCUCACACAACAAAACGUCUUGACUUUUUCAAUUUAUAACUUUUUUUUAGGUGAAACUAGGACGUGCCUUUUUUUUUUUACUAAGAUAUGGAAACAUAACAAUGGUGUUACACACGAAAUUUCAGAAAAUAUGGAUUGAAAUUGUGAUCAAGAUAAAUUGCGCAAAUCCAAGAGCUAGUAUGAAAUUCUGGACAAAAACUCACACAUAGAAGAUACAACAAAAACAUAGAGUGAAAGAUGACAUGAAGAAGCAAGAAUGUAACGUGACAAGAGACAUGCAAGGUGUGGAAAACCUAAAACAACACCUAAGAGAAGACAAAACAAGAGUGCACACGCCAAACACCAAGAACACACAUGCAGAAAGACAAAAACAACAAGAAUUGACCAUAACCGUGAAAAACAGUGAUAGUGGACAAGAGAACGUGUUUGAUGAAAGAUUUAAAACAAAUGAACCCUUUAACACUAUAAGAAAAUCAUAAAAUAAAAACCAAUUUUUAGAGACCAAAAUAAUUAGUUGCAAUAGUAACUAAAUUAGUGACCNNNNNNNNNNNNNNNNNNNNNNNNNNNNNNNNNNNNNNNNNNNNNNNNNNNNNNNNNNNNNNNNNNNNNNNNNNNNNNNNNNNNNNNNNNNNNNNNNNNNNNNNNNNNNNNNNNNNNNNNNNNNNNNNNNNNNNNNNNNNNNNNNNNNNNNNNCUUCGGUCGGGCAGGUGGCUGGGUGAUGAACUGGGAUCCUUCUCUUCCUUCUGCUUAUCCUUCGGCACUCGGGACUUGGUUGUCGGGUGAACACCGGAUGGUGGGGGUACCUGCGAAGGCACUCCGACGCUCAAGUCAGUAAAGCGGGUGGUUAGUUCUCAGGUAGGUGAACAGUAAUAAUGACAUACCUUACUCCUUGAAAUGCGUGCUAUUUAUAUUAUUCUAGUGGGCCUACCUUGUUGGGCCCGUUUAUCGAGGUGGAUACCGCUUAGGGUUGCAUUACCUAAUUCUUGGUGAUGGAUUAGCUUCACUGAUCUUGGUUUGAGCGUUAAUUGUAAUGGGGUUCGGCCAUCGGCCAAAUUCUCAGGGUGAGGAUCGGCCAUCGGCCAAAUACCCGUGGCCUUCGGCCGUCUCAGUUGAGUCUUCAACGGUCUCGGUCUCUCGGCCAAGUCUACAAAAGGUCUCGGACUCUCGGUCUUUCGGCCAAGUCUCCAAGGGGUCUCAGCCUUCGGUCAUUCGGGCAGAUUGACUGGGCAUCGGGCAGCCAGGUGGGUCCCAGUCUCGCCCGGUACCGGUACACUACCAAAUUUAAAAACUAAAUAAUUGGUAGUUAAAAAUUUGGUUGUUAAUUAGAUACCAAUUUAGAAACUAUUUAAUAAUAAUAAAAACUAAUUUAGAAACCAAUUAUUUUUUUAGUUUCUAAAAUAGUCUCUAAAAAUUGGUUUCUAUUUCAUGAUUUUCUUGUAGUGUAAAUUGUUUAGAAGUGAGAUUAAACGGAGGAACAACCAAAGAAACACAAAAUGCACUGAUUAAAAAGAAGAAAACAACAAGAACAAAACAAAACUGAAAAGAAACAAGAAGUUGAGCAGCAAAAUUGAAAACAAAGUGUUUGAUGAAUGUGUGAACGAAAACAAAAGGCUGAAAACUGAAUUUAAUCGGUGAAAAACAAAUACAAACUGUCGAAAACAAGAUUCAAUCGGAGGAAACAAGAAAUAAACUAUGGAAACACAAGAAAAAUUGAUAAAACAGCCAAGAACAAGUAUGAACAGUGAAGAACAACACUUGACAGAGAAAAAAUAAAUUGGAAGAAUGUACUUAGCUUGGCUUGAGGAUCUUAGGUGCUCUGAUCCACCUGAUGUGAACCAUGGUUCAUACUUGUGAGGAUAGAAGAAAGAGAUGCAGCGGAUAAUGUGAUUAAGAAUGGAGGAAGCCGAAUAAAUGAUAAAUGUUGGCAAUGGUGAGUGUGUGAAGAGGAAGUUGGUGAGCCAACCUUCCAAGUGUCUAUUGGCCUUCUAGGCUUGUAAACAAGAGUCUUGAGAGAGAAUGAAUUUUGUAUUCAGAAUCUUCAUUCACAAUUAUAUCAAAUCUAAUUACACAAUGUAUAUGCAAUAUAUAUAAGCAAACAAGAUAGCAUGUGCCGCAACCCUGUUUUAUCACUUUUUCUUGUACUUGUUCUUGGCUAUUUUAUCACUUUUUCUUGUGUUUCCACCGUAACACUGUUUUCAGUUCUGCUUCUCAACCUCUUGUUUCUUUUCUGUUUUGUUUUAUUGUUGUUUUAUUCUUUUUAAUCGGUGCAUUAUGUGUUCCUCUGUUUAAUCUCACUUGUAAACAAUUUAAACGGUUCAUUUGCUUUGAAUCUUUCAUCAAACACAUUCUCUUGUCCAUGGUCACUGUUUUUCAUGGUUGCAGUCAAUCCUUGUUGUUUUUGUCUUUCUGCUUGUGUGUUCUUGUUGUUUGGCGUGUUCACUCUUAUUUUGUCUUCUCUUAGGUGCUGUUUUAGGUUUUCCAUACCUUGCAUAUGUCUCUUGUCACGUUACAUUCUUGCUUCUUCAUGUUAUCUUUCACUCUAUGUUGUUGAUGUAUCUUCUAUGUGUGAGUUUUUGUCCAGAAUUUCAUACUAGCUCUUGGAUUUGUGCAAUUUAUCUUGAUCACAGUUUGCAUCCAUAUUUUCUGAAAUUUCUUGUGUAACACCAUUGUUAUGUUACCAUAUCUUAGUCAAAAAGGCACGUCCUAGUUCACCUAAAAAAAAGUUAUAAAUUGAGAAAACCAGGACGUUUGCUGUGUGAGAAUUUUGUUCAGUACCAGUUUGAUCGGUGUUGAAUUUGUUGCACCUAACUCCCUUGGUGUUUUGACAUGAAAAUAUUCUCAUAUGUGUUUGACAUGUUUUCUUGAACUGGUUAAAUUUUUAGCUUCAAGUUCGUUAUAAAAAAAAUUACCAUAAAUAGUACAAAUCAACUUGCCUGUUCUAAAUCAGGUUUAUAUUGUGUUUCCACACUGAUUGUGCUUAGUUGAUUUAUUUCUCAGUGUGUGCCUCUCCGUUUGCCUUCAAAUUUGUCGCAUAUUGUACAUCACUUAGUUCAUCAUAGAUCAUCAAAAUUUCAGCUUAAAAAUUGUUGUUUCAACAUUACCAUAAUUGUUACAUGUUUGGUGAUCAGUAUUCCACAUAGUUUCCGUUUUCACUCAUUGUUGUUGACGCUGUGCGCAUUUUGUAUCUUUUAUUUCUCUGUGCUUACUGCGUCUUUUGGCAUCAAAUUUGUGCCAUUUUCUUCAUCUUUGUGUCUAGUUUUUCUCAUCCAAAUUUCAGAGAAUUAAUUGUGUUGCAAAUCAUUUUGUAUAAAUUUUGGACCAAACACUGCUUGUUCGUCUAGUUUUCUUUGCUGUCUUAAGCAAUUUUGUUUAGUUUGCGUUUGUACCUGCUUUAAUUUUCUUUUAAACAUCAGAUACAGUUCUUGUCUGCAUUCAUGACAAUUCUCUUGUUCAAUGUUAGGCAGCAUGCUCAUGCAUUUUUGGUUCUUUGCCUUCUUUCAUUCUUCUUUUAUUUUCUUAUAUUGGUAGGUCUCUAUGGUACAGUAGGUGUGGUAAUUGUGCAUUUAGCUUCACCCUUUCUUUGGGUUUCUAGAAGCAUUUGCAUACUUAAAUUUGAUUUUGUUGUUUUAUGUUCUACUAUGCUCUUUUGACACAGUUUAUACUUCCUUCAGGUGGUAAGUUGUUCUCUAUACAGGUUAUUUCCAUUUUUUUUCUUUACUUUACUUUUUUUCUGCUUCGUGUUUUUUUUUCUAAUGGAUUCUCUUUUUCAGGCAUUGGAUAAAUGGACAAGGGAUCUUGAUGAUAUUAAAUCCUUAUGUCAUAAACUUCUUUCUCAUUCUUCUCCACCAUGUUUAUCCGAAUCUUCUGUUAUGACUUCGAAACAUGUAUCUUUUGCUUAUUUGUUAAUUAGUUCCUCCACACCCUCUUCGCAUGACAUAUUAAUCACUUCUACUCCGUUGCUUAUGAAUACCUUAGUUUCUUCAUCCAUUCCUCUGUCUCCAUCUCAACGUACUAAUCUUUUCCAUGCUCGUUGUAAAGUCUUACUUUUCCUAUGGAUGUCGCACGUAUUCUUUUUGGACGUCCUUGUCAAUUUGAUAAUAAUGUGUUUCAUCACGACACUACUAAUACUCUACAUUUUCGCCACAAUGGCAGAAAACUUACAUUUUUUCCGCUUACACCUACCCAGGUAGCUUGUGAUCAGUCUACUCUCAAAUCAGUUUUUGUUCCUUCUACCCGUCCUUCUCCAUCCUCUUUGUCUUCCACUCUGGUACCUGUUAUCAACCAUUCUCCAGUCCUUCUUCUUCAUUGUAAGGAUGUUUCUUCAGCUCCUGCAUUGUCGUCUCUUCAUCAGGAUGGUCAACUACUUUUGGAUGAAUUUUCAAAUAUUUUUCCUUCUGAUCUUACUCAGGGCCUUCUGCCUUUACGUGGAAUUGAGCACCAGAUUGAUUUAAUUCCUGGAGCUACUUUUCCUAAUCGUCCUGCUUAUAGAGCUAAUCCUAUUGAGACCAAAGAAAUUGAACAUUAAGUAUCUGAUCUUUAAUGGUUGGAUUCAACAAAGCCUUAGCCCGUGUGUUGUUCUUGUUCUUUUGGUUCCUAAGAAAGAUGGUUCUUGGUGUAUGUGCACAGACUGUCGUGCUAUUAAUAACAUUACUGUUAAAUAUUGUCAUCAUAUUCCACGGUUGGAUGAUAUGUUGGAUGAAUUACAUGAAGUUGUAUGCUUUUCCAAAAUUGAUAUGCACAGUGAUUAUCAUCAAAUCCGUAUUAAAGUUGAUGAUGAGUGGAAAACUGCCUUUAAAACUAACUAAGUUUGGUUUGUAUGAAUGCCUUUUGGACUUACGAAUGCUCCUAGUACUUCUAUGCGCCUUAUGAAUCAUGUGUUGCGUGAUUGUAUUGGUCAUUUUGUGGUUGUUUAUUUUGCUGAUAUACUUGUUUAUAGUUCUACUCUGACUGAACAUAUUGCCUAUCUUCGACAUGUUUUCUCUUUCCUUAGGCAACAUUCACUUUUUGCUAACCUUAAAAAAUGUACAUUUUGUUAGGAUACACUUAUCUUUCUUGGUUUUCUUGUUGGGAAACAUGGGGUACAGGUUGAUCCUGCUAAGGUCCAAGCUAUCAAGGAUUGGCCGAUUCCAAAAAAUAUGUUAAUGAGGUUCGCAACUUUCAUGGUUUUAUACUGGGUUUUAUCGUCGCUUUGUGCCUAAUUUUUCAUCCAUUGCUGCUCCUCUUAAUGAUAUUGUCAAGAAGGAUCAUUGGGGUCCUAAACAGGAUUCUUCUUUUCAUACACUUCAAAAUUGUUUAACUCAAGCAUCGGUGUUAGCUCUUCCUGAUUUAACGUCUACAUUUGAAAUUGAGUGUGAUGCAUCUAACACGGGUAUUGGAGUUGUUCUUACUCAACAUGGUCAUCAUCUUAUUGCUUAUUUCAGUAAAAAAUUAAAAGGGCUACUCUGAAUUAUCCUACAUAUUAUCCUACAUAAAGAACUUUAUGUUCUCAUUCGUGCUCUUCAUACAUGGCAACAUUAUUUAGUUCCAAGGAGUUCAUUAUUCACACUGAUCAUGAAUCUUUAAAGUAUCUUCGCAGCCAGCAUACUCUCAAUAAACGUCAUGCCAAAUGGGUUGAAUUUUUGGAGCAAUUUCUAUAUAUGUCAUUAAACAUAAAAAGGGCUCCCAAAAUAUUGUUGUUGAUGGUCUAUCCUGUUGUCUUCGCUCCCAUUUUUUCCAAAUGUCUUCAGAAACCGUUUGAUGGAUUUUAUUUGUCUGGUGGUUAUCUUUUCUUUAAAGGACUUCUCUGUAUUCCCAGUGGUUCUAUUCGUUCCUUACUUAUCACUGAAAGUCAUCAAGGUGGAUUGAUGGACCAUCAUGGAAUUCAUAAGACUUUUGACAUCUUAAAACAAAAAUUUUGUUGGCCUCAUAUGCGAGGAGAUGUGCAGAAACAUUGUGCUAAGUGCAUUUCUUUCCUUCAGGCUAAAUCUAAACUUCAGCCUCAUGGUCUUUAUAUGCCUUUACCUGUUGCUCAUACACCCUGGACAGACAUUAGUAUGGAUUUCAUUCUUGGUUUACCUCUCACACCUCGUGGAUUUGAUUCUAUUUUUGUGGUGGUUGAUUGUUUCAGCAAAAUGAUACAUUUUAUUCUUUUUCAUAAGGUGGAUGAUGUUACUUAUAUUGCUAAACAUUUUUUUCGUGAGAUUAUACACUUACAUGGUUUACCUGCCACUUUAGUUUCUGAUUGUGAUGUUAAGUUUCUUAGUCAUUUUUGGAAAAUUUUGUGGUCCAAAUUGGGAACCAAAUUAGCUUUUUCUACCACAUGCCAUCCACAUUGUUACGUUGCCUUCUUCAUGAUCACAAAACCACUUGGGAUGAACUGCUUUCUCAUAUCGAGUUUACCUAUAAUAGGGUUCUGAAUAGUACUACUAAUUUGUCUCCUUUUCAGGUGGUUUAUGGUUUUAGUCCACGGACUCCUCUGAGUUUAUUAAAUCUUUUCAUUCUCAUGUUAAACAACAAAUUGAUGUUAAACAGCAGAAUCUGAAAUAUGCGGCCAACCGUAAUAAAGGUCGACGACACAUUGUGUUUAAUGUUGGUGAUUGGGUUUGGUUACAUUUAGCUCUGUUUUCCGUGUUUGAAGGGGAUUCAGGAUUUUCAUAGCAAGAGUGAUUGAGAGCCUGCCAGGAGAGUGGUUGAAGCUGUCAAUAACAAUGUUCAUUCGAGUUCAUCUGUGAGUGCUUUUUUUGCAGAGAAUGAAGCUAAUCAAAGGGUUGUGAGUUCUAGUAGUUUAUCGUCGAAUGAACAAACUUCUAAUUUGAAGCUGAGGAGGCAACAAAAGGGAGGAAGAAAAUUGGAGUUUGUGUCAAUAUUACUAUUAAAUAAUACGAAUACUAGAGUUAUUGAAGAAUUGAAUAAUCCUUUAAUAACUCUCUUUUAUAAUUAUCAGUUGUUUCUUUAUACAGUUUGGGUAUAUUUUUAAUAAUUGAAUAUCUUUUUAAUUAUUAGUUGUUUUUUUAUAGAGGUAAAUAACAUUUUUAUUUUGUCUUUGUGUGUUAUGAUUCUAAUAUUAUUUAAUUAUUGAUUAUUUCUCUUCUUAGUUAAACUUGUACUCCUUGUAUAUAUUCGGAUCAUUUGUUUUGAUUUCAAUAACAAAAAGGAAGAGAUUCAUUUUCAUAUCAUUUGUCCUCUUUUUACUUUUUUGUUCAUCGUUCUCUUUUAUUCAUUUCUGUUCUCGAGAUUUUGAUGGUUUUCGGCUCUUCAGGAUUUUAUGCUAUCGCAAGUGUUUAUUCUCUGAAAAAGCUACUGAAGAAGUAAUUUCAUUUAGACUUUGUUGGGCCAUCGUCAAUGUGUGCCAUAGUCAUGAGGUUGAUUCUUAUGAAAGUUUUAUUAACCAUGCUACCAUCCUUCGUGAAAACUCUGGCUUGCGUAGAAAUUUUAAAAUUGAACAAUUGGUUCUGACUAUAACUUGAUGAUUUUGAAAAUAUGAUCGAAUUCACCUUGCAGUGUAUAUUAGAGCGAGAUUAAUGGAUACCUUGUUUCUGCACAGUGUUCGGUUACGAAGUAUAUCGGCUUCUGUUAUGAAAACUCUUGGAUUAAGGUUGCUCCAAUUACUUUGGAUGAAGUUUUCGAGUAAACUAUGAUUAGCUUACAUAAAACUGGUUUUGCGAGAAUGGGUGGCGCCGCCAACACUUUCUGUAACAUUGAAAAAAAUUGUUCACGAUAUUCAUUCCAUUUAAAGGCCUUCGCUUUUCUCAACAACUUGAUAAUUGGUUUGGUUCUUUCAGAAAAAAUGUUACUAAAUUUUUUAAUAACCUGUUUUAAUAAAAAUGUCACCUUUCUUUAAAAUUGUUAUUAAAAGUGUUUAGUAAUAUUUGUUUUCAAUAAAGAUAACAUUAUAAAAAUAUUAUUAAAAAAAAAUGUAAUAUUUUGUAAUAUUUUAACAAAUUUUAUUAAAUUGUUUAAUAAAAAAAUGUACAAAUGUUACUAUUUUCUAAUCACUGUUCUAUAAUAUUGUAACCUACUUAUUAUUGUUGUUAACAAAAAAUUGCCACAACUCUUUCAACAAAAGAUACCAAAACAACAUAAUUAUCAGUUUUGCGGUCCUCAAUUUAUUUUUUACCCAAAUUCUUCUUUCUAAGUGAAAAUCAAAUGUUUUCAUCACAAUCUAAUACUUAUAAUCUAAUACUUAUGCAUAUAUUUUUUAUUUUUUUAUUAACAAUGAAUAAAUUAAAUUAAGAGAUACUUCAGAAAUAUUUUGGAUACUUCAGUUAUGCAUGUGUUAGAUUACCAAAUUCUUCUUUACUUUCAACUUACCUUAUUUAUCACGAAAUUAGGCAUUUCAGUGUUGAAUAAUCAGUUGUGACUUCUCAUAUGACUGGAACAUAUGCACCAAAAAUAAUUUCAUGUCUAUGUUAUUGUAAUCAAAAUGAAGCCUAUAAUUGGUUUGCGAUAGAAAGAGCGGCCACAAGCCUAUAAAUGAUUUACUUGUCCCUCUCAUAAAACAACAACUUUAUUCUUAAAUAUAAGAUAAAAAUUCUAUUACUUUCAUAAGACAUUUGAAGAUACUAACAACCAAUAUAUCUACUAUGGAGGUUUGCUGGUAACAAGCAAUUUAUCACUAUUGAUAUCUUGUCCUUAGCUCAACUGAACGUUUGAUUUUGGAUAACUUUUAAAGUCUCUUCAGCUUGCUUCUCAUUUUCAUAUUGGUGUCUCGACUCCUUGAUUUGUAUGCAAUCAAUUAAAAAUAAAUGAUUUUUUAUAAGUUGGUCAGGUGUAUGCUUUGCGGUUUGUGAGGGGAGUUUGUCUCUGUUAGAUGGGUUGAAUGACAAAUGUUAAAAAUGUAUAAGAGUCUGACCACUCCUGAAGUGGUCUAUAUUUAUUUUUUUUCUUGAUAAAAAAACAAACAAUAUAUCAAAUAUUCUCCUUCCCAUUAAGCUCCCAAAGCAAAACAAGUGUAGAGCAAUAUGCAAGAAGAAUGAUAUUGUUGUCAUCAAAUAUACAAUGAACAUACAAAAUAUAGUGUGAUAAAAAGUAUAAAAAAUUUGAUUACCUAAUUAUCAAUUGAAAUUUGUCUGCUAUUUAUUGAUCUAUAUUCAAGUUAGUCCUAUCAAAAUGAAUUUUUGUUUUACAUUCCAUUCUUCCUAUUUGUUUCCUUUGUACAUCACUAAUUUCUCUACUUGUAUUACAUAGAGGUUAUUGACAAACAAUUCAAACAAUGAAACAAAACAAAGGAAACAAAAUACUAUUAUAGAAUCAACAAUAAACAAAGAAUUCUUAUAAAUGAAAACUAUGAUCUUAUAAUAAAUUACACCAACAGUUUUUUAUUUACUGAUGUAUUGAAAUAAGGUUUUUUUUUUCUUAUUCAAAUGUCAAUCAAUAUUAAAUUACUUAAAAUUGAAAAAAAAAAGACUUAGACUUACUUCAUUAGUUCAUAGACUUCCACACCCUAACAACCUUUUUAUUAAUUCAUUUUUUAAAAUAAAGGUUAAUUAAUAAAUCACUUUAAUACUUAAAAUUUAUCAAUUUCUUGAAUUUCACCUACUCAUUCAAAAUUCUUUGAAUGAACUUCUUUUCUUUAUAAUUAUUUUCAAAUAUAUCCUUGUAAUAAUGAUCAUUAUUAGUAAUAAAUCAAAAGAAUAAAAUUAGAAACAUAGUUUAGAGAAGUAAGAUUUACAAGAAGAGUUCAAAGGUAGUGGAUGGAUAUUUGAGUGUCUUAAGUUCUUUUCAAGUGUGACAACUCCAACAUUAAGGUCUUUAAGUUAGCAUAUUAUUUAGUGAUUGUAAUAGGAAAUUUGAUUGAGUUUUACUCAAGAUUAAUGGUUAGAGAUUCAAACGCCAAAUUAUAUUACAUGAGUAGUGAAUGUAAACUUCAUUUUAUAAGUCAAUUUUGUGAUGUUGAACUAGACAUUAAUAAACUUUUUAAGAUGACAUCAGACUUUAUUCUAAAGAAACUUUAUUCUAAUGAGAUAUGUAGAACUGCGUUUGAAAUGCUCAAUCUUUUAUGCGACGGAAUAUAUUAAAGAUUUCACAAUAAUUAGAAAUAAGAACAAAUUAAUAUAUAUAUAUAUGAAUAAGUACAAAUUUCACCUUACAACAACAAACAACAGUAAAAUCUUCUUUAAGUUGUCAUUAUAGUAACCAUUUGAAGUUCGAAGAUACUCAAGAAAUCAUAUACAUCUCAUCAACCUCCUUUCUUCUUUAAUUUAAUUAAAUUACAAUAUAAAUAUUUUUUUAAAGUUUAUUAUUUGGUUAUUACUAGUUUUCGUUAUGUGAAGAAGGAUCAUGGAUGUCUACAAUAUAGUGACAUUUAUAUUACUAAGAAAAUUAUAGAACCGCUUUUUAAAAUAAAAUAUUAUAUUAUAAUAAAAUACUAAUUUACUUAAGUGUGAAAUGAUGGUUUAAAAUAUCAUUUUCACAAUGUCGUCUCAUUUCAGUAACCAAUGAUAAUGAAUGUAUUCAUAUAAUAUAACAACAUCUAAAGGAGCAGUAAAAAAUACUUUGGAUAAAAGUAAUUAUUAUCUUGAUUUUAUUCCUGACUUACAUAGCACUUUAUCAUAAAUUCUGUGGUUUACAACACACCCAGAAUACUUAUUCACUAAACUUCAACAGGAAGAAAAAAAAAGAGAAACAAGCAACAAAUUACACAAUCAUUGUCAUUCACGUUGGUAACAGAAAAUUUAUGGAACAUAAACGACAAUGGGGCUCCUUACCUGAUGAGUGCCAUCAUCCCAAGUCAAAGAAAAAGAAUCCAAGUUUGCAUUAAUGGUUCCUUGAAUCCUAACGGUGAAGGACAGGCUCUGACCCACAGAUGUGAAGGUCAAAACAUUUGGCACUACUUGGAUGUUUAAAGAAGAUGGAUAUCCAGAUAUUAUUGCCCUAUAUGUGGAUCUAGCUGAUCCAACAUUAGUGACAGUUCUACCGUAAGUGACAUCGUUGUAACUUGAGCGAGCGGUUGCUAGAGCAAAUGAUGGGAGGUUAAGGUUGAAAACAGAUCCUCUAUUUGCUGAUGUACAAGUAUUCUUAUCUCCCGUAAUUCUUCGCAACAAUACUGUACUAUAACCUUGUCCACACAGAAAAUUAAUAUAAUCAUUCGGACCAAGAUCAUAAACUAGUCCAGGAUUUACUGCCUUCAAAGGAUUGAUUUGCCCCGCACC